UCGGAAUUACUGGGCGUAAAGCGCACGUAGGCGGAUACUUAAGUUAGGGGUUAAAUCCCGGGGCUCAACCCCGGAACUGCCUUUGAUACUGGGUAGCUAGAGUCCGGAAGAGGUGAGUGGAAUUCCGAGUGUAGAGGUGAAAUUCGUAGAUAUUCGGAGGAACACCAGUGGCGAAGGCGGCUCACUGGUCCGGUACUGACGCUGAGGUGCGAAAGCGUGGGGAGCAAACAG
Molecule: ribosomal RNA, 231 nt
Filed under: uncultured bacterium
Lineage: Bacteria
Description: partial 16S ribosomal RNA
Rfam family: Bacterial small subunit ribosomal RNA
Source: RNAcentral